GCCGGGUGUGGUGGUGCACGCCUGUAGUCCCAGCUACUUGGGAGGCUGAGGCAGGAGAAUUGCUUGAACCCGGGAAGCGGAGGUUGCAGUGAGCAGAGAUCACACCACUGCACUCCAGCCUGGGCAACAGAGUGAGACUCUGUCUCAA
RNAcentral lists this non-coding RNA (148 nucleotides) under Pan troglodytes (chimpanzee). Lineage: Eukaryota; Metazoa; Chordata; Mammalia; Primates; Hominidae. The record is from Rfam by way of RNAcentral.